RNAcentral lists this ribosomal RNA (451 nucleotides) under uncultured bacterium. Its description in RNAcentral is "partial 16S ribosomal RNA". It matches the Rfam family "Bacterial small subunit ribosomal RNA", at positions 29 to 523 of the family's 1533-position model. The record is from RNAcentral.
AACGAACGCUGGCGGCAGGCUUAACACAUGCAAGUCGAACGGGCGUAGCAAUACGUCAGUGGCAGACGGGUGAGUAACACGUGGGAAUAUCCCUUUCAGCUCGGAAUAACUCAGGGAAACUUGAGCUAAUACCGAAUACGUCCUUCGGGAGAAAGAUUUAUCACUGAGAGAUUAGCCCGCGUCUGAUUAGCUAGUUGGUGAGGUAAUGGCUCACCAAGGCGACGAUCAGUAGCUGGGCUGAGAGGAUGAUCAGCCACACUGGGACUGAGACACGGCCCAGACUCCUACGGGAGGCAGCAGUGUGGAAUAUUGGACAAUGGGGGCAACCCUGAUCCAGCCAUGCCGCGUGAGUGAUGAAGGCCUUAGGGUUGUAAAGCUCUUUUGCUGGGGAAGAUAAUGACUGUACCUAGAGAAUAAGCCCCGGCUAACUUCGUGCCAGCAGCCGCCGUAA